This 2289-nucleotide ribosomal RNA is filed under the name Listeria monocytogenes. RNAcentral's name for it is "partial 23S ribosomal RNA". It matches the Rfam family "Bacterial large subunit ribosomal RNA", at positions 1 to 2280 of the family's 2925-position model. Lineage: Bacteria; Bacillati; Bacillota; Bacilli; Caryophanales; Listeriaceae. The record is from RNAcentral.
UUGGUUAAGUUAGAAAGGGCGCACGGUGGAUGCCUUGGCACUAGGAGCCGAAGAAGGACGGGACUAACACCGAUAUGCUUUGGGGAGCUGUACGUAAGCGUUGAUCCAGAGAUUUCCGAAUGGGGGAACCCACUAUCUUUAGUCGGAUAGUAUCCUUACGUGAAUACAUAGCGUGAGGAAGGCAGACCCAGGGAACUGAAACAUCUAAGUACCUGGAGGAAGAGAAAGAAAAAUCGAUUUCCUGAGUAGCGGCGAGCGAAACGGAAAGAGCCCAAACCAAGAAGCUUGCUUCUUGGGGUUGUAGGACACUCUAUACGGAGUUACAAAAGAAAGUUAUAAAUGAAGCGGUCUGGAAAGGCCCGCCAAAGACGGUAACAGCCCGGUAGUUGAAAUGGCUUUCCCUCCAGAGUGGAUCCUGAGUACGGCGGAACACGUGAAAUUCCGUCGGAAUCCGGGAGGACCAUCUCCCAAGGCUAAAUACUCCCUAGUGACCGAUAGUGAACCAGUACCGUGAGGGAAAGGUGAAAAGCACCCCGGAAGGGGAGUGAAACAGUUCCUGAAACCGUGUGCCUACAAGUAGUUAGAGCCCGUUAAUGGGUGAUAGCGUGCCUUUUGUAGAAUGAACCGGCGAGUUACGAUUUGUUGCAAGGUUAAGCGGAAAAAGCGGAGCCGUAGCGAAAGCGAGUCUGAAUAGGGCGCAUAAGUAACAGGUCGUAGACCCGAAACCAGGUGAUCUACCCAUGUCCAGGAUGAAGGUAAGGUAAUACUUACUGGAGGUCCGAACCCACGCACGUUGAAAAGUGCGGGGAUGAGGUGUGGGUAGCGGAGAAAUUCCAAUCGAACUUGGAGAUAGCUGGUUCUCUCCGAAAUAGCUUUAGGGCUAGCCUCGAGGUAAAGAGUCAUGGAGGUAGAGCACUGUUUGGACUAGGGGCCCUUCUCGGGUUACCGAAUUCAGAUAAACUCCGAAUGCCAUGUACUUAUACUCGGGAGUCAGACUGCGAGUGAUAAGAUCCGUAGUCGAAAGGGAAACAGCCCAGACCACCAGUUAAGGUCCCCAAAUAUAUGUUAAGUGGAAAAGGAUGUGGGGUUGCUUAGACAACCAGGAUGUUGGCUUAGAAGCAGCCACCAUUGAAAGAGUGCGUAAUAGCUCACUGGUCGAGUGACCCCGCGCCGAAAAUGUACCGGGGCUAAACAUAUUACCGAAACUGUGGAUGAACCUCUUUAGAGGUUCGUGGUAGGAGAGCGUUCUAAGGGCGGUGAAGUCAGACCGGAAGGACUGGUGGAGCGCUUAGAAGUGAGAAUGCCGGUAUGAGUAGCGAAAGAAGGGUGAGAAUCCCUUCCACCGAAUAUCUAAGGUUUCCUGAGGAAGGCUCGUCCGCUCAGGGUUAGUCGGGACCUAAGCCGAGGCCGAUAGGCGUAGGCGAUGGACAACAGGUAGAGAUUCCUGUACCAGUGCUAAUUGUUUAACCGAUGGGGUGACACAGAAGGAUAGGGAAUCGCACGAAUGGAAAUGUGCGUCCAAGCAGUGAGUGUGAGAAGUAGGCAAAUCCGCUUCUCGCGAAGCAUGAGCUGUGAUGGGGAAGGAAAUUAAGUACGGAAGUUCCUGAUUUCACGCUGUCAAGAAAAGCCUCUAGGAAGAGUAGUACUGCCCGUACCGCAAACCGACACAGGUAGAUGAGGAGAGAAUCCUAAGGUGAGCGAGAGAACUCUCGUUAAGGAACUCGGCAAAAUGACCCCGUAACUUCGGGAGAAGGGGUGCUCUAUUAGGGUGCAAGCCCGAGAGAGCCGCAGUGAAUAGGCCCAGGCGACUGUUUAGCAAAAACACAGGUCUCUGCAAAACCGUAAGGUGACGUAUAGGGGCUGACGCCUGCCCGGUGCUGGAAGGUUAAGAGGAGUGCUUAGCUUCGGCGAAGGUACGAAUUGAAGCCCCAGUAAACGGCGGCCGUAACUAUAACGGUCCUAAGGUAGCGAAAUUCCUUGUCGGGUAAGUUCCGACCCGCACGAAAGGCGCAACGAUCUGGGCACUGUCUCAACGAGAGACUCGGUGAAAUUAUAGUACCUGUGAAGAUGCAGGUUACCCGCGACAGGACGGAAAGACCCCGUGGAGCUUUACUGCAACCUGAUAUGGAAUGUUUGUACCGCUUGUACAGGAUAGGUAGGAGCCGAAGAGACGUGUGCGCUAGCAUACGAGGAGGCAAUGGUGGGAUACUACCCUGGCUGUAUGACCAUUCUAACCCGCCACGCUUAGCGCGUGGGGAGACAGUGUCAGGUGGGCAGUUUGACUGGGGC